This 342-nucleotide unclassified non-coding RNA is filed under the name soil metagenome. Its description in RNAcentral is "partial contains 5.8S ribosomal RNA, internal transcribed spacer 2, and large subunit ribosomal RNA". The stretch from base 1 to 120 matches the Rfam family "5.8S ribosomal RNA", at positions 35 to 154 of the family's 154-position model. The record is from RNAcentral.
GAUGAAGAACGUAGUGAAAUGCGAUAAGUAAUGUGAAUUGCAGAAUUCAGUGAAUCAUCGAAUCUUUGAACGCACAUUGCGCCCGCCAGCACUCUGGCGGGCAUGCCUGUUCGAGCGUCAUUUCAACCAUCAAGCCCCCAGGGGCUUGUGCUGGGGCCCUGCGGCUGCCCGCAGGCCCUGAAGACCAGUGGCGGGCUCGCUAGUCACACCGAGCGCAGUAGCACAUCUCGCUCAGGGCGUGCGGCGGGCUCCUGCCGUGAAACCCCCCACUGUAACCCCAAAGGUUGACCUCGGAUCAGGUAGGAAUACCCGCUGAACUUAAGCAUAUCAAUAAGCGGAGGA